CAGCAGCCGCGGUAAUACGUAGGGUGCAAGCGUUGUCCGGAAUUACUGGGUGUAAAGGGAGUGUAGGCGGGACUGCAAGUCAGGUGUGAAAACUAUGGGCUUAACCCAUAGACUGCACUUGAAACUGUGGUUCUUGAGUGAAGUAGAGGUUGGCGGAAUUCCUAGUGUAGCGGUGAAAUGCGUAGAUAUUAGGAAGAACACCAGUGGCGAAGGCGGCCGACUGGGCUUUUACUGACGCUGAGGCUCGAAAGCGUGGGUAGCAAACAGGAUUAGAUACCCUGGUAGUCCACGCUGUAAACGAUGAUUACUAGGUGUGGGGGGACUGACCCCUUCCGUGCCGGAGUUAACACAAUAAGUAAUCCACCUGGGGAGUACGACCGCAAGGUUGAAACUCAAAGGAAUUGACGG
Molecule: ribosomal RNA, 408 nt
Filed under: uncultured bacterium
Lineage: Bacteria
Description: bacterial SSU rRNA
Rfam family: Bacterial small subunit ribosomal RNA
Source: RNAcentral